RNAcentral lists this long non-coding RNA (378 nucleotides) under Mytilus galloprovincialis (Mediterranean mussel). The record is from RNAcentral. Lineage: Eukaryota; Metazoa; Mollusca; Bivalvia; Mytilida; Mytilidae.
GGCUGUAUUCGUUCCUUAUUCGCUUGUAAUUCGUGUGUUUUACAUUGCACUUCUAAAAAAAAUCAGUUCAAUUUUUGUUCCGUUUCUGGUGUUAGCUACGGGUACUUAGAGGUGAAAUUACUCUAUGUGCGCGUAUGUAUCCGUUUCAGCGCUCGACUGAUACCCUGUUACUUAUUCGUUCCUUGUUUGCUUGUAAUACGUGUGUUGUGCGUUGCACUUUUAAAAAAAAAUCUUUUCAAUUUUUGUCUUGUUUCUGUUGUUAGCUAUGGGUUCUUAUGGGUGAAAUAACCCUAUUAGCGCGUAUGUACCCGUUUCAGCGCUCGACUUAUACCCUGUUACUUAUUCGUUCCUUGUUUGCUUGUAAUACGUGUGUUAUAC